This is a long non-coding RNA of Canis lupus familiaris (dog), 961 nucleotides long. RefSeq lists it as uncharacterized. NCBI's taxonomy places the organism in Eukaryota, Metazoa, Chordata, Mammalia, Carnivora, Canidae. The transcript has 2 exons. The record is from RefSeq and is a predicted model, not a curated record.
CACACCACACCACCCCCAGUGAAAUCCUGGCACCCAGAGAGCGCUCCUUUCAGCCAGAGAUCCCAGAACCAGCCGCUGUCCCCUGGCAAAAGAGGCCCAUGGCUGAGCCCUGGGCAAGUGUCUGCAGACAUCGUACCCCUCCUCCCCUAUUAGUUUUCCUUACCAACAGAAACCAUUUCCCUCUGCCACCAAAAGUAGGUUGCAUCCAAAAGUUUCUCACAAGCUUAAAAAAGAAAGGCGAAAAAUUGACAACUGUUACACAGAAGAGCCCACAAAUCCGCAGCAGCACCAGGGGUGAAGAAGCAGCGACAGACCCAGCUCUUGAAUGUGAUUUGAGGGAAGGCUCAACAACCACACACCCUGGCUGCAUCGCCAAUAUCAAUAUUUUAAAACUAAAUACAAAAGAGACAGAUGACCUCCUGACCCCAGGAAACAGGCCUGCAAAACUGCAAGUAUCCACCACACCAUGCCCAGGGACCCUUCCUUCUUCCAAAUGAACCACAAAAAUCAUACAUGUGUAGCCCAGAAAACACAGUUUUAUAUCCACAAGCAGGAACACCAAAAAUCCACUCAGAAGCACAGACAUAAACAACCAACAAGUACUGAAAUUGCCUGCACUUGAUGGGAAUUGCAAAAUCAUGCCCAGCUCUCUCAGCCCUUAAACUACUACUGUCAAAUUAGGGUAGCAAUUUUUCCCUCCUAGAAAAUUCACAACUGGUUAAGCUUCCCCACCCCACCCCCCCAUUGCCAGUGCUUUGCCUUUCACUGAAAUGAAUAAAUAACCGUGGACUUUUCUUCCCUCCUCUGGGAGCUGUUUGGUGUCCCCUGAGGACAAAACUAAAUGAGAAAAAUGACGCUGUUAAUAAUGUCGCUGCUGAAAUGCCUGUACUCGACUGUUAAAAAAAAAAAAAAAAUACUAUCCCACUAAGUGUGCUUACAUUUCGGGCACAUUUACAAGCUA